RNAcentral lists this ribosomal RNA (468 nucleotides) under uncultured Aminobacter sp. RNAcentral describes it as "bacterial SSU rRNA". It matches the Rfam family "Bacterial small subunit ribosomal RNA", at positions 8 to 524 of the family's 1533-position model. Lineage: Bacteria; Pseudomonadati; Pseudomonadota; Alphaproteobacteria; Hyphomicrobiales; Phyllobacteriaceae. The record is from RNAcentral.
AGAGUUUGAUCCUGGCUCAGAACGAACGCUGGCGGCAGGCUUAACACAUGCAAGUCGAGCGCCCCGCAAGGGGAGCGGCAGACGGGUGAGUAACGCGUGGGAAUCUACCCAUCUCUACGGAACAACUCCGGGAAACUGGAGCUAAUACCGUAUACGUCCUUUUGGAGAAAGAUUCAUCGGAGAUGGAUGAGCCCGCGUUGGAUUAGCUAAUUGGUGGGGUAAAGGCCUACCAAGGCGACGAUCCAUAGCUGGUCUGAGAGGAUGAUCAGCCACACUGGGACUGAGACACGGCCCAGACUCCUACGGGAGGCAGCAGUGGGGAAUAUUGGACAAUGGGCGCAAGCCUGAUCCAGCCAUGCCGCGUGAGUGAUGAAGGCCCUAGGGUUGUAAAGCUCUUUCAACGGUGAAGAUAAUGACGGUAACCGUAGAAGAAGCCCCGGCUAACUUCGUGCCAGCAGCCGCGGUAAA